AUGUACUGGCAAUUCCUUGUUUGCUCAUUGCAGAUCCUUUCUGGCAAGCGUUGGCAAUCACCCAUAAACACACAUAGAAAAUCCCAUGCAGGUCCAGGCAUCAUGGCUUUUCAGCACUACAGCCAUUCCAGACCACACAGAUAUUACAGGUGCCCAAAUGCACCUGCGGGGUUGCUGGGUAACCAGAAAUUCCAGGCAUUUGGGGAAGGGAGGUGCAAACAACAAAACAAUGAGCUCAAGUGCUCAGGCUCCUGCUGCACUACACAAGGUGUGCUAAACAUCUUACUGGGGCUUAAAAAGGAAGUGCUCUGCAACAGGCAGCAAAUGACUACUAUUACAUAAUUCUACUAGGCAAGCUGCUAGCAAGCCUCUGUUUUCUUUGUUGAAUCUCAUUUUCAUGAACCUAGGGUUAAUUGUUUCACUUUUGAAAUUCCUGGUAUGUUCUGGUUUGCUUAUAUUAUUUCCCUGACUGCUCUUACUAUAUUUAUUUGCUUAAUAUCUUAUCCUUUCUUGUUUACAAAUAAAUAAAUAUAAAUACUAUAAUUAGGAGCUUCAUGAAAAUUUAAGGAAAUAUCAGUUCCUUAGAAUAAAAAUUUAUAGAUACCUCCAUGAUACUGAGUCUGUAAGAGAAUUUAACAGGUAUUGACUAUAGCAAGAAAAAAAAAAAGCCACAAAUAACACUAAAGCAAUAUGCAGUUACAAGUUAACAAAAAAAUAGAAGAAAAAAAGAAAGCCCUUUCACCAUAAGAUUGGAAAGACAUACCUAGCCAUAGUUGCAGCAACUCCAUUUUCCAGGCUUCCUAUAUAAUUUAAAAACUGAGCAACGUACAGAUAAAAUACUGCACCGGCUGACCACUGUCAGUAGAAACAUGUUUGCAUUGAGUCACUCAGACCUUUGAGGCACCUUGUGGUGACAACUUUUACACUGUUUAUCUCUGUUUCUUGACCUUUGGUAAGUGUUAAUACUUCAGACUAUCCUGGGUGCAGUCUUGGAAGCUAUUGGUGUACAGAUCUCAUCAGAUCAGAUUCUCUAAAAGUUACAGAGCAGUUUCUCUUCUGCAAGGAAAAACAGUGAAAGCAUACUGAGGCACAGUGUCACAGAUUAAGAUAGACAAGAAAGACAUUAUACUGGUUAAGAAAUUGCCCAUGAGAAAUUGUGCUAUGUAGUCAUUAAAUGCAACAUUAGAAAAAGUGUACUGUUUUAUGGUACAUUAAUGUUUGCUCCCGUUAAUAGAAAAACAAACAAACAAACAAACAAAAAUAGUGAUUUGAACAGUCCUAGGCUGCAGUCUAGCUCUUUGCUUUUCUUUCUGCCUGCCUGAGACUCAGAAAAUGAAAGAACAGUUAAGCGCUUCUCCAUGGACUGUGUAAAGGUAACAUGAGGACAGCCUCUCUGAUCACCCCAUUGAUGGCCUCCACUGAGGAAGUGGAGGGACACUCUACCUCCUUUAUUGGGGGCAUUCCUCAGUUAAGAUAAAAUUUAAAUCAAUCUAUAUUAUGCAAAAUAGGUGCUGAGUAAGAAGUGUCCCUGAGAUUAUAGAAAAUAUGAGCUAUCAAAUAUAGAAAUAAGUUGUUCCUCCACUAUUUUGGGAUUCAUCUUGAUUCUCUUUUCCCUCUUUAGACUGCUAAAAAGAAGAUUUAAAUAAAUUUGACAGAUGCAACUGCAUCUUGUUUACCAGCUGAAACACAGGUGAACAUGUCAUACCUGCCACACACCUCUAGAAGCCUCACUCUGCAAGAUACAGAGCAUUAUUUACAGAACCACAGAAAACUCCAUGGUGUUUUGUACCUUUGACCUUUGCUAGAAAACACUUGAUAGCCUUUCUACAGGUUAAGGCUUUACAUUUUAAUCCCUUUCAUCAAACAGUGGAGAGUCUUACUCCUGCCUCCAGCAGGGUUUAUAAGGUUUCUUUCACAAUGCAGAUUUAAUUAUUUGGACACAGUAUGCAUACCAUUGUGUACAGAGAUAAUGAGUGAGCAUCUAAAGGGCUACAGCGGAAUGCAUGUUCAUUCAUGCUGACCCAAAAAGACCCUUCAAAAAUGGAGACUGAAACCACAGAGUAUCAGAAGCCACAACAUCAAAUUCAUUUGUCUGUGUGCUGGCUGUAGGCAAAUGUGGAUAUAAAAGUAGCUUAUCUUUAUUUUCUGUUACAGUGGGUCUUGUGAUUGUAUGGACUUGUAGACUUGUAUCAACCACAAAAUCUCAACAGUGAUGAUAAGUUGCUUUGAAAGGGAAAAGGCCUACAUUUUUGUGAUUAAAUCCAACUUGCAUACAGAGGGCGAAAGAAAGAUUAUAUCAGACAUGAACACAUGGCAGCAGCCUGCACCCAUCCCCUGCAAUUCUUUCCUCAGCGAGUUCAAAUCCUCAUUAAUCUGAUCCCUGCUUUCAGCACAGACCCAAAUUUCUACCAUGCUGUGCCCCAUAUUUUUCACAAGGCUCCGGGCCCGGCGUGGCUGGAGCUCACCCUGCUCCCCAGACAGGGCCGGGGCGAGGCAGCAGGUUCCGCACCGCGGGCUGAGAUGCAGCCCUUGCUCUGUGCGAUGGCAUUGCGCAGCUCAGCAUCAGGUAACCCGUGUUACGUAACGGAAUCUGAUAACAGUGCUUGCACACGUAGCUACUGAUCCCCGUCUUCACGUCUGCAUAUGUAUUAAAAUACAGUAUGAUAACAGUAAGCCGGAGCUGUUUUCGGACUGUCACGGACCAUACCACGGCUCACCCAACCGUCCUCACCGCUCCCA
Long non-coding RNA from Meleagris gallopavo (turkey), 2739 nucleotides. NCBI's taxonomy places the organism in Eukaryota, Metazoa, Chordata, Aves, Galliformes, Phasianidae. The record is from Ensembl.